RNAcentral lists this ribosomal RNA (348 nucleotides) under uncultured bacterium. RNAcentral's name for it is "bacterial SSU rRNA". It matches the Rfam family "Bacterial small subunit ribosomal RNA", at positions 32 to 359 of the family's 1533-position model. The record is from RNAcentral.
AAUCAACGCUGGCGGCGUGCCUCAGACAUGCAAGUCGAACGCGAAAGUCCCCCUCGGGGGACAAGUAGAGUGGCGCACGGGUGAGUAACACGUAGGUAAUCUACCUUCGGGUGGGGAAUAACAAUCGGAAACGGUUGCUAAUACCGCAUAAUGCAGCGGCACCUAAUGGUGACAGUUGUUAAAGCGGGGGAUCGCAAGAUCUCGCGCCUGAAGAGGAGCCUGCGGCGGAUUAGCUAGUUGGUAGGGUAAUGGCCUACCAAGGCGACGAUCCGUAGCCGGCCUGAGAGGGCGGUCGGCCACACUGACACUGACAUACGGGUCAGACUCCUACGGGAGGCAGCAGUCGGG